AAUGAAAACAACAUAUAAAACUCUGGACAAUUUCGAAAUCAGGCCAAGCUUCUUAAUACAUAUGCAAAAAAAAUCAUUAUUGGUCCACCAUUGAUUAGAAGAUUUAGCUUGUAG
RNAcentral lists this ribosomal RNA (114 nucleotides) under Triticum aestivum (bread wheat). Its description in RNAcentral is "partial small subunit ribosomal RNA". The record is from RNAcentral. Lineage: Eukaryota; Viridiplantae; Streptophyta; Magnoliopsida; Poales; Poaceae.